Molecule: non-coding RNA, 71 nt
Organism: Phrynosoma platyrhinos (Desert horned lizard)
Lineage: Eukaryota; Metazoa; Chordata; Lepidosauria; Squamata; Phrynosomatidae
Source: the annotation of a GenBank genome assembly
GUCAGCAUGGUAUAGUGGUUUCAACGUUAGACUACAACACUGGAGACCAGGGUUUGAUUCCCUAGUUGGCC